Molecule: ribosomal RNA, 253 nt
Filed under: uncultured bacterium
Lineage: Bacteria
Description: partial 16S ribosomal RNA
Rfam family: Bacterial small subunit ribosomal RNA
Source: RNAcentral
UAUGUAGGGCGCAAGCGUUAUCCGGAAUUAUUGGGCGUAAAGAGCUCGCAGGCGGUUUGUCGCGUCUGCCGUGAAAGUCCGGGGCUCAACUCCGGAUCUGCGGUGGGUACGGGCAGACUAGAGUGAUGUAGGGGAGACUGGAAUUCCUGGUGUAGCGGUGAAAUGCGCAGAUAUCAGGAGGAACACCGAUGGCGAAGGCAGGUCUCUGGGCAUUAACUGACGCUGAGGAGCGAAAGCAUGGGGAGCGAACAGG